Molecule: ribosomal RNA, 252 nt
Filed under: uncultured bacterium
Lineage: Bacteria
Description: partial 16S ribosomal RNA
Rfam family: Bacterial small subunit ribosomal RNA
Source: RNAcentral
UACGAACUGUGCAAACGUUAUUCGGAAUCACUGGGCUUAAAGGGUGCGUAGGCGGCUGUCUAAGUAGGGUGUGAAAGCCCCCGCUCAACCGGGGAAUUGCGCCCUAAACUGGAUGGCUGGAGUGAGGCAGGGGUGUGUGGAACUUCCGGUGGAGCGGUGAAAUGUGUUGAUAUCGGAAGGAACGCCGGUGGCGAAAGCGACACACUGGGUCUCAACUGACGCUGAGGCACGAAAGCCAGGGGAGCAAACGGG